CUCGGUAGAUUAAUUCUCUGACAUCAUCAUUUGUUAACUUCUUUCUCUCGAAAUCAAACUCAAGCUUUGAGAUUGGCUGUGUUGAUGGUUCACGCUCUGAGUUUGACAAACCACUGAAGUAUGGAUCAGAUAGUGCCUGUAAAUAAGCAAAAUCAGAACAAUGAAAGAUAAGAGUUUAAGUCUGUGUAAGAAAAUGGGAAAGAAAAACAAAAAGGUACAUCUUCAGCAGAUGCACGGUCUUUGGGAUCAAAGGCAAGCAGGCGUUCAAGAAGGCGGAGAGCCAAAGGAUCAGCUUUAGAGAACUUAUGAGAGAAAGGGACUGGCUGUUUUUUCCUCUGCUAAGAUACCUCCUCGCCUUUCAUUUCUAAUCUGUCAUCAUUUCAAGAUUGCAACAUCAUAUUAUAAAAAAUUAAAAUUAAGUAUAUUGUAUGUUUCUGGCUAUGUCCAAGAAACAUACAAAGAUCUCCAAUGUCUUCUGUGUAGAUCAUUGUCUUAUUAUACUCACACGAUGGCUCCCCCGCCCUAUACACCAUAAAUUUUUUCGUUACGUGCUUCAAUGUCUACACCUCGUUUUCAUCGUCCUUCUCCGAGUCGGUGUCGGUGUCGGAGUUCGAGUCUGAGUCCAUCCACACCACUGAGUCCUUAC
RNAcentral lists this long non-coding RNA (646 nucleotides) under Brassica napus (rape). RNAcentral's name for it is "long non-coding RNA (BNAP_LNC019276)". Lineage: Eukaryota; Viridiplantae; Streptophyta; Magnoliopsida; Brassicales; Brassicaceae. The record is from RNAcentral.